This 912-nucleotide ribosomal RNA is filed under the name Curtobacterium sp. RNAcentral's name for it is "bacterial SSU rRNA". It matches the Rfam family "Bacterial small subunit ribosomal RNA", at positions 561 to 1470 of the family's 1533-position model. The record is from RNAcentral. Lineage: Bacteria; Bacillati; Actinomycetota; Actinomycetes; Micrococcales; Microbacteriaceae.
AAAGGAGCUCGUAGGCGGUUUGUCGCGUCUGCUGUGAAAUCCCGAGGCUCAACCUCGGGCUUGCAGUGGGUACGGGCAGACUAGAGUGCGGUAGGGGAGAUUGGAAUUCCUGGUGUAGCGGUGGAAUGCGCAGAUAUCAGGAGGAACACCGAUGGCGAAGGCAGAUCUCUGGGCCGUAACUGACGCUGAGGAGCGAAAGCAUGGGGAGCGAACAGGAUUAGAUACCCUGGUAGUCCAUGCCGUAAACGUUGGGCGCUAGAUGUAGGGACCUUUCCACGGUUUCUGUGUCGUAGCUAACGCAUUAAGCGCCCCGCCUGGGGGAGUACGGCCGCAAGGCUAAAACUCAAAGGAAUUGACGGGGGCCCGCACAAGCGGCGGAGCAUGCGGAUUAAUUCGAUGCAACGCGAAGAACCUUACCAAGGCUUGACAUACACCGGAAACGGCCAGAGAUGGUCGCCCCCUUGUGGUCGGUGUACAGGUGGUGCAUGGUUGUCGUCAGCUCGUGUCGUGAGAUGUUGGGUUAAGUCCCGCAACGAGCGCAACCCUCGUUCUAUGUUGCCAGCGGGUUAUGCCGGGGACUCAUAGGAGACUGCCGGGGUCAACUCGGAGGAAGGUGGGGAUGACGUCAAAUCAUCAUGCCCCUUAUGUCUUGGGCUUCACGCAUGCUACAAUGGCCGGUACAAAGGGCUGCGAUACCGUAAGGUGGAGCGAAUCCCAAAAAGCCGGUCUCAGUUCGGAUUGAGGUCUGCAACUCGACCUCAUGAAGUCGGAGUCGCUAGUAAUCGCAGAUCAGCAACGCUGCGGUGAAUACGUUCCCGGGCCUUGUACACACCGCCCGUCAAGUCAUGAAAGUCGGUAACACCCGAAGCCGGUGGCCUAACCCUUGUGGAAGGAGCCGUCGAAGUGAUACUU